This is a long non-coding RNA of Micropterus dolomieu (smallmouth bass), 386 nucleotides long. RefSeq lists it as uncharacterized. The transcript is spliced from 3 exons. Lineage: Eukaryota; Metazoa; Chordata; Actinopteri; Centrarchiformes; Centrarchidae. The record is from RefSeq and is a predicted model, not a curated record.
CUCACGCAAGGCAUACACACUGUUUUAGCUGCGAUAGCUGCAGGACGACAAAAGUACAUCUACAUAUUAAAGGAAAGAAGCUGACAAGAAAACGGCAUGGGCAAUUUCGUCAUCUCCGGAGUGGAGGGGAGCCAGGAUCCUGCAGCAAUGAAGCUUGACAUUUUAACGCAAAGUUACAAUGAAGAUGCAGGUGAGUCGCUUGACCCGGCCAGCCUAAACAUGAGCUCUCCAUAUGCCUCCGCUGCUUUGGUUGUCCCCCCAUGUACCUCAAGUCAGGUAUGCCCAGUGGUGGAUGAGGACCCGCUCCCAAGCGAGCUGCAAGCACUGCACAGAGAAAAGAAUUUAACUUCAAAUUAAAGUACUGAUACUGCAACACAAAUAUUACA